This 1016-nucleotide long non-coding RNA is filed under the name Chrysolophus pictus (golden pheasant). RNAcentral describes it as "lncRNA (ENSCPIG00010007255.1)". Lineage: Eukaryota; Metazoa; Chordata; Aves; Galliformes; Phasianidae. The record is from RNAcentral.
AAAUAUCGAACCUAUUUGUGAUGCUGAGCAUAUCCAAAGAUAUUGCUGUUACUACUGCUCUGAUAUUUGUGGACCAAAAAUGGGAAAUGUUAGUAAAUAAACUCAAGAUGACCCAAGCAUAAAAAGAGACAAGAAGGAGGCAGUGCGAGAUCUGGAAAAGAGUGGCCACGGAAAGAAGACGCCAUGGAGAUUUCAAGCCCAGAGCUACAGACAGGCCUCCAUGGCAGACAGGACCUGACUGAGAUUCCUGUAUAUGUUUACCAGGCACAGACCCUCCCCACUCAAGGUAUUUAACGACCAGUUUAAUGAGCGAUUAAAGACAGUUUUGCCCUUGAGCCAGCCUGCUUUUACUCUUCUUCCCUGAGGAAGGUAGGGCUCCACAUGUACCAUUUCUUCCCUUUCUAUCGGAAGGGCAUGUCCCAGUCUGACACCUAAUUUUUAGCGCUCUUAUUCUGAAGCUGAAGUGGAGACUGCAUGUUUAAAGCCUCAGAUCUACUCUGACUGCAGUCAGUGGGAAUUUUCCUAUGUAGGUGCUAAGUAUUAUUCAGUGUAAGCAAAACUUGGCCUGUUACUUCUAGCUUAUUUUCCAUUAUAAAUCAAAUCCUCUCUAAUUUUUGCCUGAAGUCUUUCCUCCUACAGAGGAAUUUGUUGUAGCUAUAACGUUGCCAUGAAAUAUUUUAGCCACGAAAGCUUGAAAAUAGCUUUCUUCCCUUUCAAAAGUCAUGUUUCUCAGGGAAGCUAGCUUGCUCUAGGACUUCUAAAUAUGGUUUGUUGUUGCAUUUUGACCCAGAAAACAGUUCGCUGGUUGUUGGUAGAGAAAUUUGAUUGUGUUCUGAAGUCAACAGCUUUGUAGGCUGAGUUGCUAGCAAAGCAUGUAAAGAUCAUUACAUCCCUAAUGAAGGUGCGUGUUUUAAUGACAGUGUGUCUCUGCUCUCCAAAGCUUAAUAAGACAACAAGAAAGAUUUAGGUCCAAGCUUGAAUUCACUUAUACUAAAAUAAAGCAAGCCCAGGUUCCA